UACGGGGGGGGCAAGCGUUGUCCGGAUUUAUUGGGCGUAAAGAGCUCGUAGGCGGUUUCGUAAGUCGGGUGUGAAAACUCUAGGCUCAACCUAGAGACGCCACCCGAUACUGCGAUGACUAGAGUCCGGUAGGGGAGUGUGGAAUUCCUGGUGUAGCGGUGAAAUGCGCAGAUAUCAGGAGGAACACCGGUGGCGAAGGCGGGUCUCUGGGCCGAUACUGACGCUGAGGAGCGAAAGCGUGGGGAGCGAACAGG
This 254-nucleotide ribosomal RNA is filed under the name uncultured bacterium. RNAcentral describes it as "partial 16S ribosomal RNA". It matches the Rfam family "Bacterial small subunit ribosomal RNA", at positions 524 to 776 of the family's 1533-position model. The record is from RNAcentral.